Non-coding RNA from Triticum urartu, 59 nucleotides. Lineage: Eukaryota; Viridiplantae; Streptophyta; Magnoliopsida; Poales; Poaceae. The record is from Rfam.
CGUGUGGUGCUGUGCAAGCUAAGCUUGGCACGGAGAGCGACACGGCCUUCUACUGAGGU